UUUUUUUUUUUUUUUUUCCUCCUCCAUAUUUUGUUGGUGAAAAGGACAAAAGAAAAAUAUAUAAUAAAUUGACACACACAGCGAGAAAAAGAGGCAGUCGGAAGUCUUUCAUGUCCAGAAACUUAAAUAUAUAUAUAUAUAUAUAUUCAUUGUCUUAGCUGCAUUGUCUUUCUCUCGACCAUCCCGCGUCACUUGCAAUCUUCAACCUUCUCCUUCACGUAUUUUUCUUCAACUUAUAUACUCUCACUGCAUGCUUUAAAAUCCAACCAAAAUAAAAAAAAUUAACACCAUUAAUAUCGCAUAUAUUUAUACACUAAGCUACAAACUUUCAUCGUCCAAAAACCCGAUCCUUUAAAGCCAAACCAUCUCCUCUCAUACACAGACAUCGUGUUCUUUCUGUUCAUCCUCUCUGUUUCUCUCACAGGCUUCAAAUUUCAGGUUUUUGGCUGAUGGGUUUUCUCUGAAUUGUGUUGGAUUCUUAAUUGUUUGAUUUUCUUGCCUGACAAACACUUUGGAGUUUGUUGUUGUUGCUUUUGAGUUCUGAAAUGGGACCGAUCAGAGGGUCCAGGAGGAAGAAGAAGGUUGACCAGAAUGUGUUAGCUGCUUCAGACUCUCAGACCCUGGAAUGUUGGUGGGAUGGCUUCUCUCAGAGAAUUACGGGUACAAAUAUUCCUCUGUUGCUGCUUCUGUGUUUUCGCAUUAUCUUUUUACACGGGUUGUUUUGUUGGUUAAUAUGUUUUAAUCGGUUGUCUUUAAAUAUAUGCAUUGGUAAUUGGUUUGGAUAUAUAUGGUUUGUUGCUUAUGAGGGCAUUUCUUGGAUUUUUGUUUUUUGUUUUUUUUUUGAUGAAAUAUUAGGAUUUGGGUUCAAUGCAGUUUUCAGAAAUUGGAUAUUUUUGUUGUGACUAGUGAAUCAUAUUUGCAAGUGGAUUUCUGGUGGUAUAUAAUCUUACAAUCUUACAGUUCUUAGCUUCUGUUGAUUCGUGUUAUCGAGCUCUUGUUUCGUGUACUCGUUGUUGCUCAGAGCAUAGCAUUCCUAGUUUGAUGACUAUUUAGGGUAUUAUUUUAGGUUUUAUGCAUUAUUCCUUCCAUUAAAUUUAUGAUGCUAAUAUAUAACUUCGUCAACGGUUUCCUUGUUUGUAAUUCCGGUUGAUAUAUAAGUAGUUGAUUUUUGUUGAUUUCUUAUUUUGAUGUUUCUCUUAGCAGACAAUCCUGUUGGUGUUCAUGACAGCGAUUUGUUCUAAGCAUGUGUUGAAAUUUUAAAACAGGCUGCAUUAUUUUCGGUGAUUAGAUUGUGGUAUUGUGCCAUGAAUGUUUUUUCUUGAGAUAAGGUUGUGUUAUACAUUCCCUUCCCAAGUAUAUUUCUCUUCAUUUUUCUUGUGCAUUAACCUUAGGUUCCUCAAUGUGAGCAUACCUGGUCUUCUGAUUAGAUUCAGGAUAACCUGUUUGUAUCUUGGCGUUUGUAGGAUUUGCUGAGAGUUAUGGCCUAAGAGCGAUACUUUAAUAUGUUUAGAUUUUGCGGUUAACAUAAUGUUCCUGUUACGAGUACAGAUUUUUUGUUUUGGACUGUCCUACACCAGUAUUUCAAUCAAUCAAAACAAAGUGAGUGGACUGAUUUGGAAAACACUCGUAGGCAUAUAGCAGAGGGAACGGCAGACAGAGAACCAUGGGGCACCUUGGUUUUGUUUUGGUUGUGUUCUCAGAUGACAUGGUUAGGUUCAGAAAUUUCUUUAUCUUAUAUAGCGAGGGUAAUCUAUUAGUUUCAAGUUAUGCUGUUUGAUUUAACUCCUUUGUUUGAAAGCUAUACAAAGCGACGUUUUUUUAAUGAAAAAAGUGUAGAAUUCUAUGUACUUACCUCAUGAAAUACAAAAAAAUGCAGACUUCUUAAUGAAGUCUUUCCAAUUUCAUAGAAGAUAGCUUUCGUGCUGAGUAUUUAAUUCUUAUAUGCUGCUCUGUCAAACCUUUAGGGUGAUCCUUUGUGUGGAACACUACGGACCUACGGUAACUUGGUCUGAUCAGGUGGACAAGAUUAAGUCCAUAGCCACAGAACUCAAGCAACAGUCGUCCAAAAUGAGUGUCCGUAUACUUAUCUGGAUAGAGUAGGUUGCAUAAACAUUAAAAAGGAAACAGCAAUAGCUUUCAAGAGAACAUGGUAUAGGAGUUAAAAGAACGUCGCUAAACAAGUUUGGGAUCACAUUUUAUCAUUUAUUCAGGAUUUUGGUGUCUGCAGUCUUUUUUGUUAGGAAAGAUAGGUCCAUCUGCAAGUUGUACAACAGAAAGGCACAAGAUUUUGGCGAUUUGAUCAUGUACCGUAUACCUAUACCUCAAAAGAUUUAACUUUCCAGCUUUUAUGUCGAAUGUCCUCUAUGUUAUGUUCUUCACUGAGAAACUUAGAUUUGCACCUGGAAUGAAAUACAGUAAUUAAGACCUUCUUUUGUUCAGCAUAGUUCUCUUCAGUGGUUAAGGAGUUAAAGCAUAUUUUCGACCUCACUUGCGUUCGAUGAUAUUUCAGGCUAUAUUUAUAUUACUUGGCUAACUCUUGCGGUUAAAUGAAUUCUAUCCUCUUUUGCAGAGGUUUUUCUGAUCUUUUGGUUCUGCCAAGGACAUUGGCAUAAAGGUUCUGAAAUUCACAUUGAUAAAUGAUUAAAUUUUGUUUUCUACUUUCUAGGUCAAUCAAAAUCUAAAGGCGCAUUGAAAUUUGAAUCUUUCUUCAAAAUUUCGAUAAAGACAUUCGCCUACAUCUGUUCGCUUGUAAAGGAAGAUAUGAUGGCCAGGUCAACCUUCUGCUACUCAAAUAACAAGCCAUUAUGUCUGAAUGACCAAGUUGCUAUCGCUCUUAGGAGGCUCAGCUCGGGUGAUUCUUUGUGCAGCAUCGGUGAAUGCUUUGGCAUGAACCAAUCCACUGUUUCGCACAUAACCUGGCGGUUUGUGGAAGUAAUGGAAGAAAAAGCUCUGCACCAUCUGUCAUGGCCUAAAGAGCAGGGUGAAAUGGAGGAGAUAAAGUCCAAGUUUGAGAAAAUUCGCGGCCUUCCAAAUUGCUGCGGUGCAAUUGACAUCACACACAUCAUGAUGACUCUGCCUUCAGCGGACUCAUCAGAUGAUGUCUGGCUCGAUGGCCAGGAAAACUGCAGCAUGAUCUUGCAGGCAAUUGUUGAUCCAGACAUGAGGUUCCGUAACAUAAUCACAGGAUGGCCAGGAAGUCUGAGUGAUGACAUGGUCCUUAAAAGCUCAGGUUUUUUCAUGAUGUCCGAAGAAGGAGAUUACUUAAAUGGGGAGAAGUUAGUGCUUUCACAAGGAACGGAAGUGAGAGAAUACGUAGUAGGAGAUUCCGGCUUUCCUCUCUUGCCGUGGCUUCUCACUCCUUACAACAGAAGAGGCCGCCUCUGGGAGCAUGAGUCUGAUUUCAACAAGCGGAUUUUUGCAACGCAGAUGGUGGCGCAAAGGGCGUUGGUGUGGCUGAAAGAGACGUGGAAGAUAAUUCAAGGCGUCAUGUGGAAGCCGGAUAAGAACAAGCUGCCGAGGAUUAUUCUUGUUUGCUGUAUACUGCACAAUAUAGUGAUUGAUAUGGAGGAUAAGGUGCAAGAUGAAAUGCCAUCGUCUCGCCAUCAUGAUCCCGGUUACCAGCAACAAAUUUGUGAAUCUGCCGCUGACGAUAUGGCGUUUCAACUGAGAGAGAAUCUCUCAAUAUACUUAGCCGGAAGAUUGUCUCCCUGAGGAGACCAGACCCUUGGUUGCAUCCUGGAUGGUGGUUUCAUUGGUUUUUACUUUUUGUAAUCUUUGCCAGUUGAAAUUGGAGAGUUUAUAAUCUUUGGGAUUUUGCUUUCUUCUAUAGAAACUGUCUUAACAUGGUUUAGUUGAAAAAAUGACACCAUAUAAAUAUGGUUCUUUAGCAUUCUGAGUAUCUAUAUGUUAGUGUGUGUUACUGUCACAUUUGUGUUAUUGAUCGUCUUAUAAUGUGUGGAUAAAUAAGGUUGAUAUGUCACGAACUUUAAGUAUAAUAUUAAUAAAUAAAUAUGUAUGUUAUAAGAUAACUGAACUGAUAAUACCGCGUAAUGGUUGAUGACAAUUACACAAAAACACUUCUCUUAUUUGGUUAAAGGCCUAAUGGAAAAGAGAUGCUAUUUUCGAGGACAUUGCCGUUUUGAUUAUCCAGCUUUUUAGGGGACUUAAGUUAAAACAUCCAAAAUAUCCAGUACUCCGGAGCACCAAAUUUUUUUGGCUUCUUUAGUCCCACAUUACACCAAAACAUGACAAUGCUAGUCUAAGACAUCUACGUUCUAGCUUCUUGGUUCGGCAUUACACCAAAAACAAAACAAUGUCAGUUCGACUUAGACUAAGCCAACACAAAAAACAUUAUUCCUACAAGCGGUCAAGUCCAAGAUAGUCAUGCGUAAAAAACAAGCAUUAGUGAGACUUAACGGUCCUCCUUAGGUUUAAAAUUAACAAUGAGUUUGGAAAUACUUUUACCACGUGGCCACGUCGACUCAAAUGGGACCGCAUGCAGGGGAUUUGUGAGAUAAAAUGAGGGCAAAAAGGGAGGCCACUUUCCCUACUAAAAUGCAAGCAGGACACAAGUGAUAUCCAUUCCAAUAAACCACCAUAUUGGUUUUAUAUAUCAAGCCUAAAUGAGGUACCAAUAAUCUACGAAUUACAAGUCGAAUCAUCAACGAAGUACAAUAGUAAACCAAAUUGACGAUCAUAGGGCUCUAAACAUGUCACUGUAAAGAACAGAUUGUAUAGAUGAACCUCGUUUCAUCGACGAUGCUUUUCGUUCAAUUAGCACGGCUUCUAAUAACAUCGAGACCCACUUCGGUAGGAUCAGUAGCCUGCAACUCCAUCUGAAUUCCGUCCAACUCUCUCUUAAACGUGUCCUUUGAACUCGCGUAAAUCAUCUUGCUUCUCACCUUCGCUGUGUCAGGGGACCUUCAUACAUAGAUCUUAAAUGAGUGCAACAGCCAAGGAACAUAUAAUGAUAUAUACAUUUAGAGUAAUGAACGAGAUCUACAACGCCUAGAACUCUACACUCUAAUUAGUUACCAAGCAACGAAAAUAAUCCGGCUCUUCCGGCAGUUCUCCUCCGUCACGUAAUCAAAGUCAUAAACAGCGUAUCGGCACUCGUUAGCAGGGAGGCUUGCAGAGAAAUCCUCAUAGCUGUCAGUUGGUUGGCCAAGCUUUUCCACUAUGACCUCAUUUUGCUUCUCCUCGAUCUUGUAAACUAUGAAGCGGUAAGUUCUUUUUGCCUUCAAUUCUAAAAAUUUUAUCUUGCACUCGUCGUGUACAGCCAUCCCUGAUCGUGCGUUCGCCUACGAAAAUUCAACAAAUACCAAAAUGCAUCAAAUACCCACAAUGCAUCAGUACUAAAUUAGCAAUUGUAUGGCUACACAGAAGUUUUCACUUCAUUCCUCCAAUCACGGAACAAUUGAAAACAUACAGCAACAUUCCAAAUAUCCAAAACCAAAACACACCUUGCUAUUUUCCCGUCACGGUUUAUCAACUCUCGGUUCAUAGUAAAAGCUAAGAAUUACUGGUUUCUUCAAGCAUCUCAUAAUUCCAAACUAUUAACAAACCAAAUGAUUGAUAAAUCACUGACAUACUUAUACCUGCCAUUGAAAAAUUAAUCACCACUACACCAAGCAAAAGAAGAAGAAAAAACCAACAAAUGUGGAACAAAUGCUACGUAAGGUUCAAUUUCUUAGGACUCGUUUGGAAAUGCUUUUAAAAUUAUGGAAAGCGCUUAUGAUGAAAAUACUUUUGGAACCAAUAAAAUAGUAAUAGAAUCCUAGGAAAUCACUUUCUUGCUCCAUGCAAGAAUCACUUUGCAGGAAACACUUUAAAUGUUUUUGGAACCCAAAAGCAUUUUCUCUAAAAAGCGCUUUCAAUUAUUUUAAAUAAGUAUUUUUAGCCAUUACACUAAUCAUAAUUCAAAUUAGUCAUCCAAGUUAAAGGCAAAAUGUAAAAUUCAGGCUUAAAAUUAUGGAAAGUGCUUAUGAUGAUAAUACUUUUGGAACUAAUAAAAUAGUAAUAGAAUCCUGGGAAAUCACUUUAUUGCUCCAUCAACAUGCAAGAAGCACUUUGCAGGCAACACUUUAAAUGCUUUUUCCAAAAGCAUUUUCUCUAAAAGCGCUUUCAAUUAUUUUAAAUAAGUAUUUUUAGCCAUUACACUAAUCAUACUUCAAAUUAGUCAUCCAAGUUCAAGGCAAAAUGUAAAAUUCAGGCUCAAAAUAUAAUCACACCAAAAAAAUCAAAAUUCAUGCUUUGUGAUUGCAAAACACAAAAUCCACAUAUACAACAGGCACUUAUUGCAAAAUUAUAAAAUCAAAUCAAAAUUAAAAUGCAUAUGCAACUGUACAAACUCAUAGAAUAAUCGUCGUUGGAUAAUCAAAAGGGAUGCGAUUCCACCAUCAACUUCUAAUUUACCCACCAUUUCAUGAAUUUCUCACAAUCAAGCAAAAAAAUUUCAAAAAAAUUGAACACCAAAAUCGCACAUAUAAUCAUACUGCAGAGGAUCAUCAAUCCAGAAAAGAACUGAAAUUAUAACACAAGCCAAACCCCAGAGAGAGAGAGAGUGAGUGAAGUAGAUGAAGUGCUCACCAUUUUCCCGAGAAAAUAUUGGCGGAGAGAGAGAGAGAGAUAUAAAUGGAUAGAGUCUCAGCGGUGGAAGAGGAGGGCUGCGGGUCGUGGCAAGAAUAUGUGGGAGCCUUCCGCCUUCGGAAGAGUUGCUAAUAUCACCGUCACGGCAGAGAGAAAUUGGGCGGUGAUCCAACGAUAGUUGAACACGUGUUCUACGUUGUGCAAUUACUAUGAGAGAUGGCAUGUGAUUCACGUAAAGUAAAACGGGCUCUCGUACAUUUGGUUUUGCUUCCAUGGGCUUGGCCCAAACGUUAGCUCCUGGUCCAAGACUCCAUGCAAUCGAAAAUUUUAAAAAAUGAAAAUUCCAACUUUUAUUCAUGGAUAGUAUUCGGGUUUAUCUCUUUAUAUUUAUGUUGUGUUUGUAUUAAAUUAAAAAUUGAUCAACAUGUCGAAAGACAUAAAAUAAUGCAUCGAUUGUUUGGAAGUAUUUUUUAAAAUGAUUAAAAGCGUUUUUGGUGAAAAUGUUUUAGAAACCAAUCUUAGUACAGAUACAUAUGGAUCUUGAAAAAAGUGUUUUUUUCAAGAAGUACAUAUCUGAUGUUUUUUUUUUCUUCAAAUUUUGAAACCUAAAAUCAAUUCCACCAAAAGUUCAUUUCAAAAACACUUCCAAACGAGUUCAUAAUAAUAAGGCAAAUUAUAAUAAUUAUUAGAUAAAAAAAUACGUAGUUUUAUAAAAUUCAACACACACACCCAAUUUCUCGAAUAUACGAAGCAGCUCAUACAAAAUACAUACAAUUGCACACCCCAACUGUAAUAAAAUCAUUUACGAGUAGAAUUAUCUUAUAAAAAUAAUCUUGAACAAUUCAUAAGCUACAAUUCAGAAUGUUCGCUUCAUCAAUAAAUAUGUCGAAUGAACUAUCUUUACUUAAUUCUUGAAUGGAUUCAAAUAGCACUGUCAAAUUGUUAGGCGCAGUGAAAUUUGGAGUUCCACUCCAAAAUAGCUUGGCAAACUGCUGGUUGGCACUUUUAGUUGCAUGAGCAGAGUCAAAGAAGAGAUGUUCACUAAGGCCAUCUCCAAUCGAAUGUUGGUCAAAAGAUUCGUUUUAGCCUUCUAGUCCUCCAAAAUAUUCAUAUUUUAAUUAACAGUACAUGGGCCAUAUUUGCCUCUAUCUCCAACCGAGGGCUAAAGGGUCAUAGGGCUCGUUUUAGUCCUGUCACAAAAAACCGUCUCCAACCGAGGGCCAAACAUAAUUUAUUAUUUAAAAACUACAACUUAAAUUCAAAUCCAACAGCUAAGUGAUGUCAGCUAGCCAUUGGUAGCUGAUGUCAGUUAGCCGUUGGAUUUGAAUUUUUUUUUACUAUAAAUAGGGUGGAUAUUGGGCUAUAAUUCACACAACUUUGAAUUCAAUUUAUUUCAAUUCAAUAUCUUUCAAUUCAAAUUUGCAAUGAAUUCCAACUUUGAAUCCUCUUCGGAUUCCAACUGGGGGUCCUCAUCCAAUUCCAAAUUGGAAGAAAAAUAGGCGCAAAUGAGACAAGAAGAUGAGGAGUCUGAUGAAGAAGUUCAAGUAAGGCACAACAAACAAAACAAAGCAGCAGCCAUGGUUGCGGCCAUGGCGUGUCAGCUAACUGAGGAACAACCUCAAUGGGGUGGCUUUGUUACUGGUUGCUCUUACAAACUACAAAACAGAGUGAUGGCGCAUGCCAAACGUUGUUCAGAAGAGGAUUUCAAACGUUGCUUCCGGAUGAGGCGUCAUGUCUUCAAGUGUUUACUUCGAGAAAAUUUGGACUCCAUCAUGAUGUCUUGCAUCAUAUUACACAAUAUGAUAGUGGAGGAUGAGCGAGAUGGGUAUAUUGAUGGAGAGUUCGAUAAUGACCAAGAAGAUCCAAAUAGGUCAAGAAGGACUCCUGCAAAAAUAUAUGAUGGGCCUAAUUUGCCUUUCAAUCCAAGAACUGGUAGUAUCUCUAUAAAUGAGUACAUGAGGCGCUAUAGAAUGAUACAUUCUCGUGCUACAAACAAGUACAUACAACAGAAUCUUGUUGCAUAUCUUUGGGCCAAAAAUAGCAUGGAGUAAGCGUUUAAGUUUUAUGUUGUUAAAUGUUUUUAAAAAUGUUGUUUUAGUUUCAUGUUGUUAAAUGUUUUUUUUAUGUUGUAUAAUUUUUAUGUUGGUUAUGUUAUUUAAUGUUAUUUCAUAUUGUUUAAUGUUGUUUCAUAUUACUUAAUUUAAUUUAAUGUUGUAUAAUGGCUUAGGAAGUUAUAGGGAAAAAAUAGAAUUUUAAAAUAUAUGAAACAAAAUUUGUAAAAUAGAAGUUAGAGGAAAAAAAUAGAAUUUAAAAAACAUAUGAAACAAAUCUUGUAAAAUAGAAGUUAUAGGAAAAAAAAAAUAUAAUUUAGAAAAAAUAUACAACAAAUUUUGUAAAAUAGAAGUUAUAGGAAGUUAUAGAAAAAAAAUAGAAGUUAUAGGAAAAAAAUUGUGUAAAAAAAAAUAAAAAUAAAAACCGUAAAAAUAAUAAAAUAAAAAAACGGCUAGCUGACGUUAGUUAGCCGUUGCAUUUGAAAUUUGGCCUAGAAUUUCUGUCAGAUAUAACCGACAGAAAUAUAUAAAUAUAUUCAUGUCGGUUAUAUUCGACAGGAAUGCUAGAAUUUCUGGCCCAGCCCGGGGCUGGCUGGAUUGGGCCAGUUAGUUGGCCCUUUCAAAUUCCGUGGGGCCCACGAGCCCUCUGGUCUAGCCCUCGGUUGGAGACGAUUUUUAGACUAUUUUCGACCCUCUGGACCUUUUGCUUGGAGAUGGUCUAACAUUGUCACACAAAUAGUAGUCUUUGACACCUCUCCUUACCCCACAACUAUAAACUCAAUAUGGAGCACAGCCGAAACAUGCCACUUUCCCUUCCUUCAAACCUUUGACAACAAUAUCACAAGCUCAAAAUUUUAGAAGUAAAAAAACAAAAAGUGAUUAUUCAUUUAUGAGUUUUUCCAGAUUGAUUUUGUGAAAAGUCCCACUUUCAAAAGAAUAAUUCAAAUUUUAGAGUGGUUGUGCUGGUUAGAAAUGACGUUUCGCUGUGAUUUUUUUGCUCUGCAUCUCACACAGUAAUUUUUUUCAUCUUCUUCCUUGUAAUUUAAGUUAAUUUAGUGUAAACUUUCGCUUAGAUAAAAAAAAUUCAAUGCUUAAGAUUAAAACAAACAAAAAAAAUCCUAGGUGCUGUUUCUUAUGGAAAAGAAUUGAGACUUGAAUUCAAAAGUAGAAAUAGGGUGACCAUUCUCAUUCAUGAGCACUGUAUAUAAUAAUGCUUAUCAGAUGGCUGUUUAUUUGUCAAAUACUGACAAGUUGACAACUGAGCAAGCCAAGCAACGAUUCUGCAUGUAUCACUUCAUCAACACAUGCAUAUCAGAUAUCUUUGAUUAAUUCUUGAUUGGAUUCAAAUAGUGCUUUCAAAUUGUACGGCGCAGCGACGUCGGGAUUUCCACUCCAAAAUUGCUUGGCAAACUGCUCGUAGGCCUUUUCAUUUGGAUGAGCAGCGUCAAAGAAAAGAUAUUCAGUAACAUUGUCGCAUAAGUCAUACUCUUCGAUACCUCUCUUCCCUCCACAGCUAUUAAUUCCUCGAUAUGGACCAGUGCCACAACAUGCCAUCUUCCCUUCCUUGAAACCUUUGCCAACAAUAUCACAAGUCAAAAGAAAUAAUAGGAAAAAACGGAUUAGUCAAUCUCAAGUUUUCCAGAUUGAGUAAUAUUUAAGUUGCUUUUUUCUUGAAAGUUUCAUGUCAGUUUUUUCAGAUUGACAUAUAUAUACUAUACGAAUGUACGGAUAAUGUGAAUCCCGAAAUGAUGCAUUGUUUUGUUAUUUGCAGGUUUUGACUUCGUUCCCCCACUUGUAUUUAUUUUUAUCGCUCUUUAUUAUUUAAUAAAAUUAUGGAGAUAGGGGAUGGAUGGGUCGUUCUAUUGGGGAUUUAGCCAUUUCUAAUCGCUCUAGGGGCAGGGAAAUUGCCUACUUUGUAAUUGAUGGCUAAAUCCCAUGGUCUGGUCUUUUUUGACCAUCUUGUGUGCGAGUUUGGAGAGUAUAGCUACUAUAGUAGACUAAUAACCAAACUUUAUAUGUAACUCGACUCGUCUAAUCCAUUAUCAUCCUUUUAUUUAAAAAAAAAAAAUCUUGCUUCCCAUUAAAUGAUCUAAACAAUGCAUAUUCAUAAUAACGAAAGAGGAUUAAGGAAGUUGAUAUACCAUAUUUGGAAGGGUGAUUUAUUCUCUGUGUAAUAAACUUGUUAAAAUCGGAGAGUGAAUAUCUCCCGUGAGUUCACUCUCUAGCUUUUUCAGGAGUUUGAAAAGUGCUUUGUUGUGUAGUUUCACGUAUGGUGUAAGUUCUUCGUAGCAUGCAUCAUUUGGUGUAGAUCCUAGUGCUUUUCCGUAGGGAAUACAACCAAGAUCAUACAUGUUCAUAAACCCAAAAUUUCUUCCUCCUUCGUUAUAUAUUUCCUGCCACAAAAGUAAUAUUUAUUAGUACUCUAUGUGCAUAUAUAUAAUGAAACAUUUUCUCAAAGUGCUAAGAAUUUACUUUGAUCACUGUAGUUAUGUUGCCGAUCACCAGGCCUCUAAAUUCCUCAUGGGAGUAGGUUCGAAGCACACUGGAAUUUGUAUCGAAAGGGAAAAGGUAAUCGUAGCCCAUAAUAAUACGCAGAGCUUCAAUCCCAAAAUUUAAGGCUGGGCCAUUGUAGAGAGACAUAGCCACAUCUGGCUCUGACAUAGUCCGAGUGGUUUUUUCGGUCGAUUAAUAUAUUGUCACGUGUAAGUUUUUUUGGAAGGAAUACAAUAUGCACUUCACUCUUUCUAUAUGAAUGUUCAAAGAAACAUAAAAAAUUUCAAAACUUGAUUAAGAGUGGUUAUUGCAAGAGGUAAUAGGAGAAGGCGGAAAUCGCUCUCCUAUUUUUUUCUCGAAACUUAUAUGGUGUUUAGAGUUGCAGAAAUACUGGUGUGAUACCCAGACCAUAAUUAUAAAGUUUGAAUUGAAAUAUAUAUCACAACAUAGCUAUACCUCCCUCUGGUUUAGAUGAAUUCUCUCAAUUAUCUCUUCGAAUUAAUCGAUAAUGUUAAGUAUGAUUAAAAAGGAAAGCAUUGAAGUAAAGCAGCUUUUCUCAAAAGUGAUAUUUAGGUGAAGCAUUAACAUAUAGCUUAGGUGCUUAGUAGUUAAAUGUAGCACUAGAAGUUAUUAGCUAUGACAAUUUUUCUUGACGGAGCAAGAUGAUCAGAACCCUCUUCCAUAGUCACUUUCUGAGUAAUUGACACAGGAACCAAGCAAAGGCCUUUGCUUCUGAGGUCAAGCGCCUGCCCACUCCCAGAUUCCUGUUGAAAAUUUCAAAUUUGUGAGAAAAACUUAAUAAGAAUUUAAAAUAUCAUGGAAAAUAUACGUAAAUAGGAUCAGAUACGAAAUUUGAAUCAAAAUUAAAACUGAGGGACAAUAAACGGAUAGUAAGUUGUAUCUAAACUGUUGUUUAGCUCCUCUUUAUGUUGACAACCUGGUGCCCUUUUUCGUUUUGGAUUAAAAAUUUGUAACUGGUUCGAUUUGUUUAUGUGUCCCAAAUAUCUUAUGUAUAUGUCUUCAAAUUAAUUCAAGUGCUUGCCGUGCGACCUGUGAGUGAAGAGCCGCAGCAUUCUUGUAUGAAUUACCAAGCAUCCUUAGCAGAUUCUGCUACAAAAAUUAAAAACAAAAACAAAAAACCAACAAGCAAAUUUAGCAACUAAAACCUAUCUGCAGCAUAUGAAAAUGAAGAUAUUAAUUAUAAGUUUAUUACCAUAAUUACUUCACUAUAUGUAUACUUAAUACCUGAAUUUGUUCUUGGAGGAGCAUGAUAUAUGUGGAAGCCUCUUGAAGAACUGAGGCAGUGUCAGUCUGUAAUAUUAUUAUAAGUUAAAAUCUUAGUUGUAGUUAUAAUUUACAGAAAAUGCAAUAUCAAUUUUUUCUAUUUAUGCUAAUUACCUUGCCAUAGGGGGAAACCAAUUUUUGGAGAGCUGUGAUUUUGUCACUAAGCUUUUGGCUUCUUCUCACAGGCACAUGAUGCAACUUCUAGCCAAAAAAAAUAAAAAAUAAAAAAUAAAACAAACAAACAGCAAAAGUUCAACAACAAAUCCAUAGCUUAAUUAAAUGUUAAAUUAACACAUAUAAAAUUUGAUUAAUUAGGAUACCUUAUUGUUUUGUUGCUCCAUUGAGUUUUCUUGGAGCUGUUGAUGCCAAUAUUGUUGUUGAGAAUUAUUAUUUGUCAUCUUGCUUCUCUUAUUUUUGUAUAAUUCGUUGAGAGAUGUUCUGUCACCAACAAGACCACCAAAGUCAUCAACCUCAAUUGGACGUUUCCUUGCAUUUUGUAUGGCCUGGCAAUCCUUCAAGGAUUUUACAAAAUGGAACAAAUUAGGGAUUGAAGCAUGGUUAUAUCACACAAAUUCUACCAGAUAAGAUGCAAAUAAAAUGGAAUCGUCUUCACCCCCAUUUGUCUUCAAUUUCCAAAAAUACUUUGGGAAGUAUUGCCAUAAUGUUUGAUAUUACCCGACCCGAGUAUGACCUUUUCUUAAAUGUGUAGUUCGGAUACAUAUUCUCACAAUAUAAGAUACAUGUCGGUCAAAAUUUUAUUUGUGUAAGACCUAUCGUGAGAUAAUCAUCUGUAACUAAAGAUGACGUGAACGAUUGACAUUAACAAUGAUCAGGUUAUUCAUUUAGUUUGAAAUGAAGGACUAGUGAAAUUUGAAAUUGAGGAAAUUCUUGUUAGUUGUUGAUUAGGAACUUAGCUACAGACUAAUUAAGAAGAUCAUUGGAUCAACAUACUGCUUGAAAUUGGGGGGCUGAAAUCUUUUUGUCCAGGAACAUUGACUGCUCUGAAAUGUCAUCAUAUCUCAACGAACCAGAUGGAUAAUUAACUGCAAUCAGACAAGGUAAUUACUGCAAAUUAACCAGGUUCUUGUGUGAAUUAUUAGAGUUCACUAAAUUACAAAAUCAAGAAAAAUUGGUAAAAAAAUUAGGCAGAAAUUAGAAAAGUUGCUCCUGAAAUGGAAACAGAUGGAAAAGGAAAUGCACCAAACCUGGAGGUUGAUAGGUAAUGAGGGAUGAUGACUGCUGCAGAGGAAGAGAAUAGUCUGCAGCUCUCAUGUUAUCAUGGUUGUCACUUUCGAAUGCGUUGGAUCCCAUGCAAAACCCACUGCCACCACGACAGGGGGUAACAAUUAUUAUUUGGAUAAAUAAUUAAACUAAGAUUAAUAUAAUAACCCCAAUAAUAAUCAAAAUGAAAAUCUAAUUAGUUGCUAGGGGACAGUCUUUGUCAUUCUUCAGUUCUUGAGAUUGUAUUUGAUAAGUACGAACAGAAAUAGAUGAGUAAUCUAAUUGGGAGGAUGAGGUUAUUAUAUAUAAUUUCUCAAAAUAAGGAGAUUAAUUCCUAUAUAUCUCCACAAAUGUUUAAAUUUAGGAUAAAAGCUUGAAAAGGAUAGAGUGCUUACAUUUUACUGUUCAUGUCCAUUUGUGCAUCCCAAUUUGUCAUCUGAACAUCAAUAUUGUUUUCUGAAGAAAUUGAGAAAUAAUUGAAAUAAUCUUAUGCUCAAAGUAAACAAUACUAAUUAAGAUUUGUGAUGAUGAUUACCGCAGCUGUAAAGAUGGGAGGGUAGAGAUGGAAGGAGAUCAGUGUUUCUCAUUUGAGCCCAAAAAAUCCAAUCAUGCAGAGAGAGUUGAUCUUCUAUUGAUUUUUGAGACACUAGAAUUCUUCUAAGCCCAGAAACUGAAACACAUACAGAAACAAAAUGUGAUUUAACUGAGAGCACAAUGCAUGCAAAAUGAAUCAAGAAGAACCCACAAAAGUGAAAAAUGAAAUGAAAAUUCUAGAAACCCAAGAUUACUUGAAAGAGCAGAUUCUCUAUAUAUAUAUAUAUAUAUCUCCUUAUCAUAGCACCCAUCACGUGACCUGAUCAGGUGAUGAGUACUACACUCGCAAGAGUUUAUACUCCCGGUGAGUGUUUUCCACUCUGAAGACAUUAUUUGAAAGCUAAUCCAUUUCCUCACCUCGGAUCUCUUGAAACGAAAAGAGCUAGACCUGAUGAGCUGAGAACUUUUCCCAGAUGAAUUAGUAUAUAUUCUGUAGUGAAAAGGCGUGACCUUGAACCUUCCCUUGAGUGCAGCAACGGUUCUUUUCCUUUUGUAGAAAAAUGUUGUGAGAAGAGGUUAUAUAUAAUUAGUAACUGUAUGAAUCAUGAUCACGAAAGGAAUAUGAAACGUCCAGGUGACUCAGAACCUUAUAUUAUAAUAGUAUAUUGGCCGGGGCGGCUCUCUCUCUCUUUCACUAGCAUGUUUACUGUUUGCUUUCGCUUUCGCUUAAUUUGACUUGAUUUCUAUAUCAAAUUAUAUGAGUCGAAAAUGACUGGUUAUUUUACUACUUGAUGCAGCUGCAUAGUCAAAGCUAAAUAAGAUGAUGGAACGCUUGAUAAAUGACUCACAUUUUGACUCGGUUUCUUUUCUGUUGCAAACUCUAUAUUGCACACGGUUGCAUUCGUAUAUCCUUCGGGGUUUUUUAGCAUGGACCGAGCAUAGUAUGCACUGGAAACUUCGACUGUUGAAACCUUAGUUGCUAAAUCAUUGGAUAUGCACAUCUAGUCGUUUAUUCAUCUAAUUCAAACUAGCGAUCCAUACUAGAAUUUCGAUAAUUUCAGGGUAAUUGAUGGAUAUGUACUGUACUUUGAGUAUGUGCAAUCAUAAUUCAAAGGCAUGGAUGUGGAUGAGCCUACUCAACAUCCGAAUGUGUUGCAAGAAUAUUUUGCAAUAUUUAAAUUGAAUAGUUCACUACUAAUAGCAUUGAGGCCUUUUAAGAAAAAACUCUCCAAGCUGGUAGGUUCUUUUGGCUCCGUUUACCUUCGCAUUGAAAUUUUAUUUUAUUUUCUUUAACCUAAGCGGUUAAGUUUAAUACAAUAUCAGUACUGGAUGGUUAAUUAAUGUGUUGUGCAACAAAGGAUAUUAGAGACGCUUUGAUGAUCUGUUGAUGGAACUCAAAUUGAUGUUCUAACAUAAUUGUCAAGCCUAGAUGAACUGCAGAAUGAGGGGAAUAUAUUGAGAGGACAGCAAUUUCGGAUCACUUACUGGAACUGAAUGUGGGUCUAAAAUUAGGCCAUUGUUCUAAUUUUGAUAUUUGUGAGUGAGCAAUAUCCUGAUUAUGAUCUGUUUGUUUUCAUAGUCUUUCACGUGAAUAUAUGGAUUUUUUAGAAGCUUUUUCUAAUUUUGAUAAUAGCUAGGGAACCAGGUAAUUAAUAAUACAACUUUGGAACUAUUUUCUUUCGGUUGAUUCUUUUAUACCUAAUUUUCUGGGUGCUAUCAACUCAUAGGCAGAAAAGGGAUGAAAUUGCUACUUUAGUAGUACUCUAUUGAGUUCAUUGUUUCAGCUAGUAUUACUUAUGAAAUUGAAUCUGCAACUUAUAAGUGAGAAAAAACAAAAAAAAUAAAAAGCAUCUUAAUUCAGGCUGGUUUGGUAUUGCUGUGCUUUGAAAAAAAAACUGUUUCUGCUGUGCUGUGAGAAUAAACUUAUUUUGCCCGCUUCACGUUUUCAGUUUUUUUUCACCAAAAACUAUGAAAAUAAGCUAUUUUUAAGUGUUUACCAAACACAUUUUUUAGCUCAACUUUUUUUUAUACCCACUUUUUAUAAAAUCACACCAGUAUCAAACCAGUACUUAAAACAUCAUGAAUAAGCCAAGGCUAGUCAAUCUGGAUGUUUGGAUAAUUAUAUCAUUUGGUAUUGCAUUAAUAUUAGAAUUUGGAGACGUUCUUAGGAAAUACAAAAGUUCCAAACAAUUUAAAAGUGAAAGGCAUUCUACUUUUUGGAAUAGUUUUUUGGUGUGUCUGUUACACUGUCACGUAAUGUUACUAAUUAGUUUUUCAGUAUGAUAAUUACUAUGUCACAUAUAAUAUUACUAAUCUAUAAACUAUAAUAUGUAUUUUCUCCCGGCCCUAUAAAUUAAAUUAAUAGGCUUAAAUGUCAAAAUGGUCCCCGUGUUUUACUAUAUCAGUCAAUUUAGUCCCUGCGUUUUCAAUUUGGCCAAAUGGGUCCCCGUGUUUACAUCCAUUAGCCAAUUCAAGACAAUCGGUUAAAGAACCGUUAAAAUUGGCACGUGCAUGGCACAUGAGAGGACAAAAACAUAAUUUUAUUGUACCCCCACUAAACAUACGCAAUAUACGAUGCCUAUAUUUUGAAAUUGAUGAUUCGUUUCAAUUCACUUGAAUACUAAGCAAUUUAGGGUUUUAACAUCCAUUUGAUCAGAAAUCCAGAGAUUAUGGGAUUGCCGACUGAGUUCAACAACGUCACACUUGAUGUUCGAACAUAACCUAUGCCUAGCCCACAUGUUUGAAUCCCUCAUUUCAACCAAUCUCUAGAGUAGUCACCAAAAGCUCAGUCAGCAACCCCACAAUCAUUGGAUUCCGACCAAAUGGAUGUUGAAACCCUAAAUUGCUUAGUAUUCAAGUGAAUGGAAAUGAAGAAUUUAUUGCAGUAGGUUCUGUUGAAAUGUCCCACAUCGUAUCAAUGAGAAAAGAAAAGUUUAAAUAUCAUAACCCCACUUCAACUAACACCGAGGCCUUUUGUGAUAAACCCCACACCUGACAGAUUGUGCAGGUGGUAAUUACCAAGUUUGGGACAAUAUCGAUGUUGUUGGAAGUGGGCCAUAUGGUAUGUCUCUCUGAUAAUUAUACAUGGUAUCAGGGCCAGGGAGCGGGCCCGUACUGUACUACCACGUGAUGGGUAGGUCCCCUUAAGCCUGUGUGAUGAUGGUGGGUCUCUUGGCCCCGUGUGUAGGGUGAGUCAUCUUGGCUCUACAUGGUUGUGGUUGUCGAUACGUGGAUUUCCCACGUGUGACCCACUAAUUGGGUCUCUCAUGAGGGGGAUUGUUGAAAUGUCCCACAUCGACCAUAUCAAUGAGAAAAGAAAGAGUUUAAAUAUCAUAACCCCACUCCAACUAAUAAUGAAGCCUUUUAUGAUAAAACUCCACACCUGACGAAUUGUGCAUGUGAUAAUUACCAAGUUGGGGACCAUAUCGGUGUUGUUGGAAAUGGGCAGUAUGGCCCGUCUCUCUGAUAAUUCUACAGGUUCAUGUGUACAAAUAAAAUUACAUUUUUGUCCUCUCACGUGCCAAGCACCUGGCAAUUUUAAUGGUCCUUUAAAGGAUUUUCUUGAAUUGGUUAACGGAUGUAAAUACAGGGACCUAUUUGGCCAAAUUAAAAACAAAGGGAGUAAACUAGCGGAUAGAGUAAAACUCAUGGACCAUUUUGACAUUUAAUUCCAUCACUUUGCUAUGAAAAGGAUAAAGCUAAGGAGACCAAAUUUUUAAACCAAGUUUGCAAACCAAACAAUGUGUUUGUUGAUAAUUAUAUUAUUACUUAAGCAUUGAUUAACAUGCUUAUUUCCUAUUUGUGACACAUCAUUUGGUUUGCAAUUUUAGUUUAAAAUUUUAGUCUUCUUAUCAUUACCCAUAUAAAAUAUUUCUCGAAAGAAUUAGACUAUAUAUUAAUUUGUCUUCUGUGCCUGGUCUUAUUAAAUUGAUUCCACUUAUUAACAAAGCUUAAUUUUGACCUCUUCGCAAAAUUGGGUUGAAAGUUAAUUGACCAAUGUCCAUUAGCAUGAUGCAAAUUAAUUAACAAUAAUUAAUCACCAUCUCUUUUUCUUGUUUGGUGGGUCAUUCUCCGACCGUCCUAGGUGUCAUAGUUGUUAAUUAUCCUAUCUCUAUUAAUAAUAGGGAGUUUUAAUGAAACAUUUCUAGUACUAUUCAUUUUUAACGAAAAUGAUAUUUUUCCUCUAAAAAGUCACUUCUGGAACUAUUCACUUACAAUACAUUUUUGUUCUUUUGAUUAAAACUCAAAGUUUUCAAGUCUUUUUCAUUAAUUUUUUUUUAAUAAUAUAGUUCGGCAAAUAAUGUUAUAUAAUAUAAUAUUAAGAAAUAUGCUCGAUGACAUUGUUAAUAUUUUUUGGCUUAUCAAACUUUUAAUCAAAAGGGUUUACGAGAAGUUGGGGAUUAAAAGAACAAAGAGUACGUUUUCUAGUUGUUGUGUUUACUUUACAUAUUGAUUCUCGAGUCUCUAAUGAAAUUUACAGUCCGACGUAACAUGUAAAUUACGAGAACUGUUAUUCACAAUACUCUUAACACUUAUUGACAAGGCUCAUUUUGAUAAUAAUGUAAUAUAAGAAUAAUCCUAUGGAGGCUAAAUUUAUAGAUAAAAUUGGCAAAUUAAAUGAUGUGUCGUCAAUAAGAACAAACAUGUUUAUCGACGCUUAAGUAAUAAUUCAAUUAUCAACUUUCAUAUCAUUUAAAUUACAAAAUUUUGUCUCAAAAAUUGGUCUUCCUAACAUUAGUCGUAAUAUAAACAUGACUAAACAAAGGUAGAGAACUGUUGUCAUCCUAAAACCUCUACAUGUUAUGGUUUAUACGUUCUUAUUCACUUGCAAUCUUAAUAAACAAAAAAAUUAAGUCAACCUCUCUUAAUUUGGUGUCUAGCAAAUAUUAACAAUCUGCAAAACAUUUAUAAACUGCCAUCUGUCAGCGUUUAAUCUGAUAGUUAAGUUGGAAAACUCUUUAAAAUUAUAUUGCACGGCUGAGUCCUGUGACUGCUGCAAAACAAACCCUGCACCUGUGUUGUUAUUUGAGAGACAUAAUCAGAACACGUAAACAUUAGUUUAGUAGAUUAUAAAAAUAAUAUAAAAGCUGCAGGAUAGUUUUAUCUUAAACAUUAGGGUUGAUCAACCAGGUUGAAAAUCUAGAAGUCAAAACUGGAGAUUGUCAUUUAGGUCCUGUAUUCGACCUUAAAAAUAAAUUGAAAUUCAUCUGCAUAAAUAGCUUCUCGAUGCUUACACGAACGAGUCUUCCCCCGUGCAAAUUAAUAUAUAAAUUAUGUUAAUUAGUCUUCUGCUUAAUUAUUAAAUUAUGCAUGGUCUACUAUCAAAAUACAAGAUUAAACGAAUUCCUCCAUGUAAAUAAUAAUAAUAAUAAUAUUAUGACCUUAGGUCUAUUUUAUUAUGGAAGUCAAUCCCCAAAUCCAUCCCUCAGUGACUCAGUGGACUCUAUCUUGUUAUCCAUAUGAUCAAUCAUAUCAUUAUGUUUGUGAUAAUUAUAUGCAGGCCUCUAUAUUAAGGGAAAUGUUGAUGGGAAUGCACACAUAAGGUACAAUAUUAUAGUAAGGAUCUUGUAGUUCAAGCAGUUACUAGUGUUUAUGCACCCGGAGUUCUUUGUUUGAAUAUCUUUCGAGUGUCUGAAUCAUCAUUUCAUUGUCUAUAUAUUUAGAGAGCUCAUUUUGUUAAGUCAAAAACUUCAUCCUAACUUUAUCUAUAUAGAAGUGAAGAUUGACAUUUUUAUAGUGUCAAUAGUAGCUUCAUUUUACUGUGAUAAAUUUAACGUUUGAUUUUACUAUCGUCCAUUUCAAUAUGACAUUUGCCCAGCCAAAUGAUAGAAGCUACAUAUGUGAUUUUUUUUUCUUUCCAAAUUCUAAACUACUUUAUUUUUUCUUCAAACUUGAAAGUAUGGGGCAACCGCACUACUCUAAACAACUGGCACAACUCACAUAUUGUCAAAUAAGCUGAAGAGUAAACGAUUAUCAAAUGUUGGAUUGCCUUACAUCAUACUAUAAUGAACAUACUAUUCAAAAGCCCAAUUUACUGAGGAGUUUUAAUUUGGGCUGCAUGACUCCGGGCUGAGCCUCAAAGCUUGGAUCCAAUGGGCCUACAAAUCAAAUUCGAUCCGACACUAAAUUACGACCCACUGGACCAAAGUAGGGUCCGAAAGGGCAAUUCGGUCAAUCGAUCCCUCAUUCCCACCAAAUAUAAUUGCUCGGGUUCACGUCACUCGUCCUUUCUUAAGCCCUAGAAACCCUAGCUCUCUCGGAGGCGCCUCUGCUGAUACCGCGCAUCUCUUCUGGUACGUGAUUUUUCAGUCCAAAACUUCAUAAUUUCCAUCAAUUGUCUGAUAUUGUUUCGAUUAGGGUUUGCUUUCAGUCUUUAUUUGUUAGAGUUUCGUCCUUUUUAAUUAUUUUUUGAGGUUGAUUUGGGCAUCUGGAUCUCUUGGAUCUUGAUUUUGUUAAUUUGAUUUGGAAUACGUUUUGUUUUGGUGUGCUUGGAUUGAAAUGCUGUUAUUUUUGUGCUUAAGUAGGUCAAAUGUUUGUUUUUUACUUGAUUAUGGUGGGAAUAAAUGAUUCUGGAAUUGGGUUUUUAUAAAUUAGGGGCUUUGAACAAGUGUGAUAAUUGUGGAAUCUAGAUUGAUAUGUUUGACUGAGCUAGAAAUGGGGAAAGGGAUCGAACUACCGUUACUGGUUUUCAUUUUGCUUUUUUAACACAUUGCUUAAGAGUGUAAGAUUUGACAAGUGAAUAGCUUUUGUAUUAUGUUUUUGUUUGGUGGUUUUGUACUUGUUGACUUGCGUGCAAUAGCUCCGAUGAACUUAUAUUGGAUUAUCUUUUCUGAAAUGCAAAAGCGACAAUGAGAGUUAGCGUUCUGAAUGAUGCUCUUAAGAGCAUGUACAAUGCUGAGAAAAGGGGCAAGCGCCAGGUCAUGAUCAGACCAUCGUCCAAGGUCAUUGUCAAGUUUCUUUUGGUGAUGCAAAAGCACGGUAUGCAUCCAUCAGUUAAAGCUAUACAUCAUUUUCGUUAUUUCAAAGUUUCUAUGUGAGUUGUUAUUUUUCUGGGUGUAUGGAUAGUAAUAUUUUUGGUUUUGCUAUGUAGGAUACAUUGGCGAGUUUGAGUAUGUUGAUGAUCACAGGGCUGGUAAAAUUGUGGUCGAGCUGAAUGGAAGGCUUAACAAGUGUGGGGUUAUCAGCCCUCGUUUUGAUGUCGGCGUUAAGGAGAUUGAGGGAUGGACUGCAAGGUUGCUUCCCUCUAGACAGGUUAGCCCAUUUUUAUCAGUUAGCUAUUUCAAGCCUAGAAACAGGACAUAUGUCUUAGUCGAUUCUUUUGAGGAAACGUAUAUAGUUUGGAUUUGUAACUCAUCUAUUUUUGAGCAAAACAAAAUUGUAAAAAAAUGUUAUUGGCAAGAUUAUAUAUUAUUGAUCAUGUCAAUGGUGAUUGGUCUAGCUUUUCACCUGGCUCCUGUUUGAGCUUUCCUGUAAUGUGCUUCAUGUAUCAUAUCAGAUCUUUUGUGUCAGAUGAACUUUGAAUUCUCGUUUUUUCUGCUUGAUCGAAUGUUAUGCAUUGUGUUGUAUUUCUUAUCCACUUAAGCUUACGGAUGUUUGGUUGAAGUUGCAGUUUGGAUACAUUGUGCUGACAACAUCUGCUGGCAUUAUGGACCACGAGGAGGCUAGAAGAAAGAAUGUCGGUGGUAAAGUGCUUGGUUUCUUUUACUAGGCAAAGCUUCAACGAAUGAGAAUCGAGUUUUCCUGUUUCUGAGAGGAGCUUUGGGGUGUACUUUUGAACAUCUUAGGAUACGUCUAUGUUUCAAUUUGUGUUUGUUUUGGAUGCUGAUAGAGAUUACUGAAACGUUAUUUGCUUUACUUUUAUCUUAUGGAAUCCAAAUUUUGGCUUCAAGCAAGUAAUGCUUUUGCUUUGUAUGUUUUUCUUUGAAUAACGAAUGGAUGAAGGUUGGUUGUUAUGAAAGAUGCUGUGUUAGCUUUUUAAUGCUAUAUGCUCGGCAUCGUUCUGAAAAUGGACUUGAGCUUGCAUAUUGUACUCUUUCAAAUUAAUAUCCAUCUGUUGGUCGGUAAUCUGCGACUUAAGUUACUUGAGGAGAAAGGAAGAUUAGUUAUUAAACCGCGGGUGUUCUUCACUUGUAAGUGAGAAGUCGUAGUUUCAAUUCUCACUUUGUAAGUGAGAAGUCUUAGUUUCGAUUCUCGCUAAAAGCGAGUUUGAACAACAUUAUUGCUAGCCUUUUUUUGUUAAUGUAGAUAACAUCGUUUGUUAAAAAAAAAAACGAUCUUGUUUGAUCGUAAGCCCUCCAUUCCUCUCAAAAUUAAGGAAAUGGAUUGGUAUUGGGCAAUAACAGUAAAUUCGAACUAAAUGGAUAGUUUUGAAAACGACAGAAUUAUGGGUCUUAAAACGGUGAAGAGUACAAACAAGUCUGAAGUGGUUGAGGGGAUCAUGUUCCAAUUUUUCUUCAAGUUAUUGAUUAAAAGAUAGAGAAUCAUCAAAACCAUACAAAAUGGACUCCUAAGUGCUUUAAUGGUCCACGUGGAUCUACAAAAUCCCACAAUAAAACUCAUGCAUGGUUAAUGCGCGGAACUGUUACUAGCACUUUAAAAUAUUAUGCUCUUCGUUUUAUUUUUUAUUUUUCAUACAUCGGUGAAGUGCAGAAUGACUUCGAGAAUAUCCUAUAAACUAUUGUACGUUUAGAUUACCGAGAUAAAAAAAAAGAAAAGAAAAAUGUGAUGUUUGAGAACAAGAGACUACAUAAACCAGCAGGGAUUUUAUUAAUGCCAAUACUGGAGGACUGUCCCCCCUUGACCUAGCAGUAGUGGAACUGGUGGUGGCAUAAGUAGUACUGGUUUUUGAAGCAUGAUAUUAAAGUUAACAACAACACGAUUAGCAUGGCCCCUGAGGAAGGAUGACACGCUUAAAUCGGAAAACAACACAAAGAUAAAAGAUUGCGGAUACUGCCAAAGAUCUGUAGUUGCCCUAGCUACCAUCAAAGCCAACCAACAUGACUUCCAAAUUUCAAUUAGCUUUUUCGUCGUCGCUUGCGUCAUCUUCGUUGGUAGUAGCAACAACAUGGUGACCACCAACUUGACCACCACCAAUGGUAUCUCCGCCGCCACUCCCGACUUCCAUUGGCAACGAGGCGCCGAGGACGAAGAAGUUGGAGAAGCAAGAAGGUAGAUGAUGAUGGUGUUCAAGAGCUUUUCAUGUUGGAAGGGUGAUAAAACAUGGGCGCGUUAUGACGUUUUGUAGGUGAAGGGAAGGUGCGGGUAGAGUAUCU
This 23443-nucleotide long non-coding RNA is filed under the name Malus domestica (apple). Its description in RNAcentral is "long non-coding RNA (MDOM_LNC001023)". The record is from RNAcentral. Lineage: Eukaryota; Viridiplantae; Streptophyta; Magnoliopsida; Rosales; Rosaceae.